RNAcentral lists this unclassified non-coding RNA (217 nucleotides) under Hevea brasiliensis (rubber tree). The record is from RNAcentral. Lineage: Eukaryota; Viridiplantae; Streptophyta; Magnoliopsida; Malpighiales; Euphorbiaceae.
UGUCCAUAUGGGAUUGCAACACUUGUGUUUGGGGAAAACUUCUCAGUGACUAUAGCGCCACUGGAUCCACUACCCUUAAUGUUGUAACCGUCUCUCUUAAUGGCCAAAGUGACUGGUUCCCAUAUAUCAAGAUAUCCAGUCGACAAGGAUACUUUAUAUGAAGCAUGACCACCAUAAAGAGUUUUCUCAAUAUGUCGUUGCAUUUCAAGAUCACAAA